RNAcentral lists this ribosomal RNA (253 nucleotides) under uncultured bacterium. RNAcentral describes it as "partial 16S ribosomal RNA". It matches the Rfam family "Bacterial small subunit ribosomal RNA", at positions 524 to 776 of the family's 1533-position model. The record is from RNAcentral.
UACAGAGGUCUCAAGCGUUGUUCGGAUUCAUUGGGCGUAAAGGGUGCGUAGGCGGCGCGGUAAGUCGGGUGUGAAAUCUCGGAGCUUAACUCCGAAACUGCAUUCGAUACUGCCGUGCUUGAGGACUGGAGAGGAGACUGGAAUUUACGGUGUAGCGGUGAAAUGUGUUGAUAUUGGAAGGAACGCCGGUGGCGAAAGCGACACACUGGACCUUGUCUGACGCUGAGGCACGAAAGCCAGGGGAGCAAACGGG